Molecule: ribosomal RNA, 440 nt
Filed under: uncultured bacterium
Lineage: Bacteria
Description: partial 16S ribosomal RNA
Rfam family: Bacterial small subunit ribosomal RNA
Source: RNAcentral
CCUACGGGUGGCAGCAGUGGGGAAUAUUGCACAAUGGGGGAAACCCUGAUGCAGCGACGCCGCGUGAGGGAAGAAGGAAUUCGUUUUGUAAAGCUCUAUCAGCAGGGAAGAAAAGGCCGUUACCUAAGUAAGAAUCCCCGGCUAACUCCGGGCCAGCAGCCGCGGGAAUACGGAGGGGGAAAGCGUUAUCCGGAUUUACUGGGUGUAAGGGGAGCGUAGACGGCAGUGCAGGUCUGGAGUGAAAGGCGGGGGCUCAACCCCCGGACUGCUCUGGAAACUGUACGGCUGGAGUGCAGGAGAGGUAAGUGGAAUUCCUAGUGUAGCGGUGAAAUGCGUAGAUAUUAGGAGGAACACCAGUGGCGAAGGCGGCUUACUGGACUGUAACUGACGUUGAGGCGCGAAAGCGUGGGGAGCAAACAGGAUUAGAUACCCUUGUAGUC